RNAcentral lists this ribosomal RNA (1514 nucleotides) under Escherichia coli. RNAcentral's name for it is "partial 23S ribosomal RNA". It matches the Rfam family "Bacterial large subunit ribosomal RNA", at positions 1 to 1559 of the family's 2925-position model. Lineage: Bacteria; Pseudomonadati; Pseudomonadota; Gammaproteobacteria; Enterobacterales; Enterobacteriaceae. The record is from RNAcentral.
GGUUAAGCGACUAAGCGUACACGGUGGAUGCCCUGGCAGUCAGAGGCGAUGAAGGACGUGCUAAUCUGCGAUAAGCGUCGGUAAGGUGAUAUGAACCGUUAUAACCGGCGAUUUCCGAAUGGGGAAACCCAGUGUGAUUCGUCACACUAUCAUUAACUGAAUCCAUAGGUUAAUGAGGCGAACCGGGGGAACUGAAACAUCUAAGUACCCCGAGGAAAAGAAAUCAACCGAGAUUCCCCCAGUAGCGGCGAGCGAACGGGGAGCAGCCCAGAGCCUGAAUCAGUGUGUGUGUUAGUGGAAGCGUCUGGAAAGGCGCGCGAUACAGGGUGACAGCCCCGUACACAAAAAUGCACAUACUGUGAGCUCGAUGAGUAGGGCGGGACACGUGGUAUCCUGUCUGAAUAUGGGGGGACCAUCCUCCAAGGCUAAAUACUCCUGACUGACCGAUAGUGAACCAGUACCGUGAGGGAAAGGCGAAAAGAACCCCGGCGAGGGGAGUGAAAAAGAACCUGAAACCGUGUACGUACAAGCAGUGGGAGCCUCUUUAUGGGGUGACUGCGUACCUUUUGUAUAAUGGGUCAGCGACUUAUAUUCUGUAGCAAGGUUAACCGAAUAGGGGAGCCGAAGGGAAACCGAGUCUUAACUGGGCGUUAAGUUGCAGGGUAUAGACCCGAAACCCGGUGAUCUAGCCAUGGGCAGGUUGAAGGUUGGGUAACACUAACUGGAGGACCGAACCGACUAAUGUUGAAAAAUUAGCGGAUGACUUGUGGCUGGGGGUGAAAGGCCAAUCAAACCGGGAGAUAGCUGGUUCUCCCCGAAAGCUAUUUAGGUAGCGCCUCGUGAAUUCAUCUCCGGGGGUAGAGCACUGUUUCGGCAAGGGGGUCAUCCCGACUUACCAACCCGAUGCAAACUGCGAAUACCGGAGAAUGUUAUCACGGGAGACACACGGCGGGUGCUAACGUCCGUCGUGAAGAGGGAAACAACCCAGACCGCCAGCUAAGGUCCCAAAGUCAUGGUUAAGUGGGAAACGAUGUGGGAAGGCCCAGACAGCCAGGAUGUUGGCUUAGAAGCAGCCAUCAUUUAAAGAAAGCGUAAUAGCUCACUGGUCGAGUCGGCCUGCGCGGAAGAUGUAACGGGGCUAAACCAUGCACCGAAGCUGCGGCAGCGACGCUUAUGCGUUGUUGGGUAGGGGAGCGUUCUGUAAGCCUGCGAAGGUGUACUGUGAGGUAUGCUGGAGGUAUCAGAAGUGCGAAUGCUGACAUAAGUAACGAUAAAGCGGGUGAAAAGCCCGCUCGCCGGAAGACCAAGGGUUCCUGUCCAACGUUAAUCGGGGCAGGGUGAGUCGACCCCUAAGGCGAGGCCGAAAGGCGUAGUCGAUGGGAAACAGGUUAAUAUUCCUGUACUUGGUGUUACUGCGAAGGGGGGACGGAGAAGGCUAUGUUGGCCGGGCGACGGUUGUCCCGGUUUAAGCGUGUAGGCUGGUUUUCCAGGUAAAUCCGGAAAAUCAAGGCUGA